Salvia hispanica is the source of this 218-nucleotide non-coding RNA. NCBI's taxonomy places the organism in Eukaryota, Viridiplantae, Streptophyta, Magnoliopsida, Lamiales, Lamiaceae. The record is from RefSeq and is a predicted model, not a curated record.
GUGAGGAGUCAUGAGUUUGGACCAACCUAUGUGGUGAGCCCUGAAGGUGAACACCAAGCAACCAUAGUGUGGCUCCAUGGCAUUGCAAGCGAUGGGUAUAGCUGGUGUACUCUCUUUGAAACCAUUGCCCUUCCAAAUAUAAAGUGGAUCUGCCCAACUGCUCCUAAAAGACCAGUAACUGUGAUUGGAGGCUCUACAACAACAGCUUGUAAGUUAGA